UUUGAAAUCUGGCCCUCGGGUCCGAGUUGUAAUUUGUAGAGGAUGCUUUUGGUGCGGCGCCUUCCGAGUUCCCUGGAACGGGACGCCAUAGAGGGUGAGAGCCCCGUACGGUUGGAUGCCUAGCCUCUGUAAAGCUCCUUCGACGAGUCGAGUAGUUUGGGAAUGCUGCUCUAAAUGGGAGGUAAAUUUCUUCUAAAGCUAAAUACCAGCCAGAGACCGAUAGCGCACAAGUAGAGUGAUCGAAAGAUGAAAAGCACUUUGAAAAGAGGGUUAAAUAGCACGUGAAAUUGUUGAAAGGGAAGCACUUAUGACCAGACUUUUUCCUAGCGGAUCAUCCGGCGUUCUCGCCGGUGCACUUCGCUAGGUUUAGGCCAGCAUCGAUUUCUGUAGGGGGAUAAAGACUUCGGGAAAGUAGCUCUCUUCGGGGAGUGUUAUAGCCCGUCGUGUAAUACCCUUACGGGGAUCGAGGUUCGCGCUCUGCAAGGAUGCUGGCAUAAUGGUCAUCAGUGACCCGUCUUGAAACACGGACCAAGGAGUCGAACAUUUAUGCGAGUGUUUGGGUGUUAAACCCUCACGCGUAAUGAAAGUGAACGGAGGUGAGAGCCCUUACGGGUGCAUCAUCGACCGAUCCUGAUGUCUUCGGAUGGAUUUGAGUAAGAGCAUAACUGUUCGGACCCGAAAGAUGGUGAACUAUGCGUGGAUAGGGUGAAGCCAGAGGAAACUCUGGUGGAGGCUCGCAGCGGUUCUGACGUGCAAAUCGAUCGUCAAAUCUGCGCAUGGGGGCGAAAGACUAAUCGAACCAUUAACGGUGGGACCAGCGGUAAAUAAUUAAUUUACUAGGUGGUUAAGAGGCUUCUUGCGAGAGGAAGCCUAGGUCGGACCUACCCGGUAGCUACCUGGUAGUUACUUACCCGGUAGCUACCCUAUAGUAUCGGGUAGCCGACCGACACCGCUAAAUUGCGGGGACAUCCUACAGAAGGCUCCAGGCUACCGCCCUGCGCUGAAAGGCGUACGCGGCACCAAGAAUAGCGCUCUUGGGUAUGGUAAUAACGCCUGGGGUAGCGGACGACCUGCAGCCAACCCCGCCAGCCCCCCUAUAGGGGGGGCCUUAGGGGAGAGUUCACUGACUAAACAGCGGUGGGUCUUAUAGUGCUAAUAGGUGCUGUGAGGCCUAAGACAUAGUCGAUC
RNAcentral lists this ribosomal RNA (1188 nucleotides) under Lopadostoma americanum. Its description in RNAcentral is "LSU rRNA". It matches the Rfam family "Eukaryotic large subunit ribosomal RNA", at positions 114 to 1450 of the family's 3401-position model. The record is from RNAcentral. Lineage: Eukaryota; Fungi; Ascomycota; Sordariomycetes; Xylariales; Xylariaceae.